GAUGAACGCUGGCGGCGUGCCUAAUACAUGCAAGUCGAGCGAACAGAUGAGAAGCUUGCUUCUCUGAUGUUAGCGGCGGACGGGUGAGUAACACGUGGGUAACCUACCUAUAAGACUGGGAUAACUCCGGGAAACCGGGGCUAAUACCGGAUAAUAUUUUGAACCGCAUGGUUCAAUAGUGAAAGACGGUUUCGGCUGUCACUUAUAGAUGGACCCGCGCCGUAUUAGCUAGUUGGUAAGGUAAUGGCUUACCAAGGCGACGAUACGUAGCCGACCUGCGAGGGUGAUCGGCCACACUGGAACUGAGACACGGUCCAGACUCCUACGGGAGGCAGCAGUAGGGAAUCUUCCGAAAUGGGCGAAAGCCUGACGGAGCAACGCCGCGUGAGUGAUGAAGGUCUUCGGAUCGUAAAACUCUGUUGUUAGGGAAGAGCAAAUCUGUUAGUAACUGAACAAGUCUUGACGGUACCUAACCAGAAAGCCACGGCUAACUACGUGCCAGCAGCCGCAGUAA
Molecule: ribosomal RNA, 514 nt
Filed under: uncultured bacterium
Lineage: Bacteria
Description: partial 16S ribosomal RNA
Rfam family: Bacterial small subunit ribosomal RNA
Source: RNAcentral